CUACUUUUGGUGUCCCCCUCAGGAAUUGCUCUUGAGAAAAUUUCAUGUAAUUGUCCCCUCCAAAGUUGACAUCAGAUUUUCGCCCCUGAUUACAUAUAACUGAGUUUUUAAUUUAAUGUAUACAUUUCUCCAUAUUGAUGUUCACUCAUUUUGACAAAGGCAACUUAUAACUACUACCACUGAUGCCACAUGGUCAAGGUGUCAUGUGUAACUCCCAGAUGAAUGAGUCAGGGAAUGGGUAAUUAAGGGGUGGGCCAUGUGAAUCUCCCUCAGGGCACUGACAAGGCUCUACAAGCCCUCCUUAUUACGAUUAUGGCCCUAGUUCCCUCCUCACACAGGUAGGAAAGAGGACAGUGUUUCACAACCCUGACCUGUGAUAAUCACUAUGAAAUCUGAGCACAUUAAUGAUUAUCUUCCACAUAGGGAUUCUCAUUGACAGAGUCACCACCACAGUCAAUAACAUUUAUGAGGAAGGCCAUGUUCUAAUUCCCUCCCAAAUCACUAAAGGGCCAUCAUGAUGAUUUUGUCCAAUUUAUUUGAAGGGUAAUACUUUUAUUUGUGCUGCUAUCAAUGAAGUUAAAGAUUUGAAUGCAGCCACUAAGUGUAAGUUGACUUUCUGCCUUUCAUACACCAGCAGUCCAAUUCUAAUGCUGCGAGGAUUUGACAUAGUCUAUAAUUAUAGCUGAAAGCCUAUAUGACUGUAGGAGGUUGAUGCAUUCUCUGGCAAGACCCAGGAGACAUUUGAUUUUAUCUGUGUCAUUAAACAGCAAAGUGCUUAAAAAUCAAAUAAACAUGGCAAUAAAAGUGGUUGGGUUCUCUUUUAGAUAAUUUUUUUUGAGGUUCAUGAAACAAAAGGAAGUGUGAUAGGUGAAUAAUAGCUGUGAAAGAAUUCAAUGUGAAGGUAAACUUGAGAUUUCAGAAGCAGUAAAACUCUCAAUCUGAGAGGGAUACAGUAUGUAAUUGUCACGUCCUGACCCUAGUAAGAUGUCAUUUUCUAUAGUAGAGUAGGUGACAUCUAUAGUAGAGUUUGUGUUUUUUUCUAGGUUUGUGUUCUAGGUUUUCUAUUUCUAUGUUGUUGUUUUUUUGGGUUGAUUUCCAAUUAGAGGCAGCUGGUCCUCGUUGCCUCUGAUUGGAGAUCAUAUUCAUGUAAGGGGUUUUCCUUUUGUAUUUUGUGGGUUGUUAUCUUUUGAGUAGUGUUUGUUUCUCUCUGCGUCACGGUUUGUUGUUUUUGUAAAUUCAGUUAUUUUGUGUAUUGAAAAAGUUUCACGGAUUUUAUCAAAUGUGGAACUACAACCACGCUGCACUUUGGUCUGAUCCUUUUGACAGCCAUGACAGUAAUUCAACUGUAGGAAUAGAUUGUUACUCAAUCGCUCUUCCCUCUGACAACAGCAUGUCUUUCAGUGAGUCAAGGACAAUUAUCAUACCCUUAGCUUGUCAAGAUGUGUCGGAGGAACUACAAUUUUAUCUAUUUUCAAAACAAGUGGGUGGACAGAUGCUAUAGAGUCUAUUUCUCUGAGAGGGGGUGUAUUGCAUAGUGACAGAAAAGCCAGAGACAAGAAGAAAUGACGGAUAAGUGAGAGUUAAGCAACUUUGACCUUCAAAGACUUCAACUAACAUUGUUUUUGUCUGGUCCAAACUCAGUAUCCUAUAAUUCUAUAUGAGGAUACUAGGGGAAUUUGAGGAAAAUGUUUACAGGGAAAUAAAAGGCAAGUUUGAGGAUUGGGUACGUGGGUGUUCUAGUAUCACUCCAGAUGUUAUUCUUUGACGAAAGGAAAGUCUCAAGAAAUAUACAAGAGAUGGAAGAUAAUAGAAGCAAGGUUAUAAAACACACAAAAGUAUGAAAUGUAUGGAAUUCAAGGGCAACAUUUUAGAAUAAGAUGCCCUUUAUGUCAUGGUUAGUUUGAUAAGGGGGAAUGCAGUACUAAUUAUUGUCCCUGUUUACUGAAAUAAACAAGAAAUAGAACAUCAUUUCCAUAUAAGGGAAUAAAUCAAACAUGGAGUUUAUAAAAAAUAACUAGAGGCCUUUCCAGAUGACUGACAAAAGUGAAACUGAAAAGUCAUCUGAAGCUGCUUGCAUUUGCCCGAACCAUCAGCAUAAUUCCUCACUCAAACCAGAGCAAAAAGGCCAGUCUGCACAUGUUCUAGUGCAAACCUGACACUACAUGACAUUAGGCAUGAAAAGAAACCCAGAGGAAUGAUCCAUGUUAUCAUACAAUUGAGAUGUGAGACACUCCUCUGGCUCAGAAAUGUGCAAGACCUAAACACAGCUUGAGGUUAGUUCAAGUGCUUUAAAUCUGUAUGAGUAAACCACUCAGGAAAAGAGAGGCAGGAAGUCAAACAGAGAAGACUGUGAUUUUAAGAGCUUUAACAAGAUGGUAAAGUGGAGCUGAGAACCAGUACUGAGGUAAAGGCUCAGUGUGAUCAGAAUGUGUCCCUGCAGUGUGACAUCAUGUCACCGAGCCCACUCAAGAUCAUUCUCUUUUCCUGGGUAAGGAAAGGGAAACAGCUGUGUGUGGUCAAUGCCACUGGUGUAUUCUCCUUUCCUGGCGUCCGGUGUGACAACACAAACAACACCCUCACACUCAAUCUGACUCGGGUGAUGCCGUCCAGUCAGGGUAACUACACCUGCAAACUGCGCUCCAACCUAACGAUCACAGCUGCCAACACCACUGUGACAAUGCAAGAGUGCCUAAGGACAUCUGAGCACAAAGUGUUCCAGAAUGAGUCUCAGGUUGAGUGCCAGUUAUUUGGAGUUUACCCAGAAGGCACAGUACACUGGUUCCUGGGCUCUGAGAAUAUAACAGAGUCCGCCAGCACAAAGAGCCAGCUGGAUGAAGAGGGGCUGUUUGAUAUAAGGAGUACCCUGCCUACCCAGGCUGGGACUGAGCCUUACAACUGCUCCUUGUGGAUACCUAGUAGUGGAACCUACAGCUCUCACAAACAGCUGCACUACUCCAGGGGGCUCUCUUCAGGGACAAAGACUAGGAGCAGACUGCUGUUGUUCUUCAUCCUGGUUGGACUCAUAAUCAUAAUUUAGGACUACUCAUGGGAAGGUCAGGAGUUUUUUUACUGAAUAUGGGACUUCGAACUACAGUAGGGCAAAGGGCUUUUCUGGUCAGGGCACAUCUACACAGGAUGGAUCAGGGCCUUUCUCUUACUGAGUGAAGAGAAAGCAAACCUGGACUGCCAUGGCCAAAGUAGAUAUAUGUUUUCACUUAUUAUACUGGGAAGCAAAAUAUCAAAGAAAUUGCAAUAAAUACAAUUGAAUUUUAAAGCUGAAAAUCAUUGUACAUUGGGAUUUGAGAAUACUGUAAGAAGUAUUCAUCCGUUCAUCGUUUGUCUUCAACGUUAUACACUUGCUUAAAUUGCAUUGCUUAUUACAGUAGUAGAGUACUGCUUCCUGGUGGUGAAAGUGUUUACUGAUGGAAAUAGUAUUGAUGUUAGAUGAGUAAUAAAGCUGUUCUAAAUUGUAUUGUUGAAUUGACUGAUCUUGCUUAUUAAGUCUGUCAUAUCUUGUUGCUGUGUUUUCCAGUCAGCACUGAUUAGACUGAUUAUAUAAUCAAUCAAUGCAAUGUCAAAACAUGGCUAGAAGGACAUGUUACUGUGUGUUCUGGAUUCUAAAAUACAACUUGAAUUGUACCAUAGCAAAUAUAGUCACCCGUGUUGUUUUCUGUACUAGUUCUCAAUUUAAAAAUGAACCAGACCACCCUGGGUACUCAUGACAUUGACAGUAAAAGAAUGAGGACUCAUGGUCAUUCAAAUUGCAUUUCUAGUUCCUUCUCAGUGUACCACAAGGGGGCAGAGUCAUCCCACCAGAGAGGACUGUCAAACCAAUCAUACACAACUCUUCUCCCUCUGCAUACAAACACACACUCAUGCUGUGUGAAUUCCAAUCCAACUGUUCUGUAUAAAUCAACACUUUGAUGUGACACAUUUCCUAUCAAUUUCCUCUACGCCAAUGUGGGUCUCCUGCAAAGUGAAGGAGUGAAGGGUAAAAUGUCUGUCAUUAUAAAACACUCAAAUAAAUCCACAUGACUUCUGUGGUGUCAAACUCACAUCUCUAAUGCAUUAUCCAGGUGCGAGGAUAUGUAAUGUGUUUUAGAUGGACUGACCUUGUUGCACAUGUUGUGUGGGCUGCUGUGAGAGAUGUUAAAAGUACCUGUUGAGUACACAGUAUAACAACACAUGCAUUUUUCUGAUAAAUAGGUACAUUUCCCCAACAAUUGUGAGGAUUCCUGCAAAGUGGGAUGUCAUUAUCAAACACUAUGAGUCCUGUUGUCAUUAUCAAACACUCAUCAAUAUGAUGAGUACUGUUGUCAUUAUCAAACACUCAUCAAUAUGAUGAGUCCUGUUGUCAUUAUCAAACACUCAUCAAUAUGAUGAGUCCUGUUGUCCCAAGCAGGGCAUGAUCAGAAAUAUAGUGUUUUAAAUCGACUGACAGUUUGUUUCAGUAAAAUCAAACAUUAUCUAGAAUGGAGAUGAUGGUGUUGUGUCUUUGCAUCAUUAAAACGGAAGACAUGUUUAUCAAAUAACUUUCUGUAAUUAUUAUUACGCGAUUAAACUGAUUAAUCGUGUAACUGUAAUUAACUAGGAGGUCGGGG
This 4601-nucleotide long non-coding RNA is filed under the name Salmo salar (Atlantic salmon). RNAcentral's name for it is "lncRNA (ENSSSAG00000096674.1)". Lineage: Eukaryota; Metazoa; Chordata; Actinopteri; Salmoniformes; Salmonidae. The record is from RNAcentral.